Molecule: ribosomal RNA, 468 nt
Filed under: uncultured bacterium
Lineage: Bacteria
Description: partial 16S ribosomal RNA
Rfam family: Bacterial small subunit ribosomal RNA
Source: RNAcentral
GACGAACGCUGGCGGCGUGCUUAAUACAUGCAAGUCGAACGGAAAGGCCCUGCUUUUGUGGGGUGCUCGAGUGGCGAACGGGUGAGUAACACGUGAGUAACCUGCCCUUGACUUUGUGAUAACUUCAGGAAACUGGGGCUAAUACCGGAUAGGAGCUCCUGCUGCAUGGUGGGGGAUGGAAAGUUACGGCGGUUGGGGAUGGAAUCGCGGCUUAUCAGCUUGUUGGUGGGGUAGUGGCUUACCAAGGCUUCGACGGGUAGCCGGCCUGAGAGGGUGACCGGCCACAUUGGGACUGAGAUACGGCCCAGACUCCUACGUGAGGCAGCGGUGGGGAAUAUUGCGCAAUGGGCGGAAGCCUGAUGCAGCAACGCCGCGUGCGGGAUGACGGCCUUCGGGUUGUAAACCGCUUUCGCCUGUGACGAAGCGUGAGUGACGGUAAUUGGUAAGGAAGCACCGGCUAACUACGUG